CUUGGUGGCUAUGGAGAAGGGGAAAUACCUGACCCCAUUUCGAACUCAGAAGUCAAGCCCUUCAUCGCCGAUGGUACUGCACACAAUAGUGUCGGAGAGCAGGUCGCCGCCAGGC
This 115-nucleotide ribosomal RNA is filed under the name Parachlamydiaceae bacterium. Lineage: Bacteria; Pseudomonadati; Chlamydiota; Chlamydiia; Parachlamydiales; Parachlamydiaceae. The record is from RNAcentral.